Tinamus guttatus (white-throated tinamou) is the source of this 215-nucleotide non-coding RNA. NCBI's taxonomy places the organism in Eukaryota, Metazoa, Chordata, Aves, Tinamiformes, Tinamidae. The record is from RefSeq and is a predicted model, not a curated record.
ACAAGCUGGAGAAGGAGGUGGCCACGCUGCGGGAGAAGAUCCACCACCUGGACGACAUGCUGAAGAGCCAGCAGCGCAAAGUGCGCCAGAUGAUCGAGCAGCUGCAGAACUCCAAAACGGUGAUUCAGGCCAAAGACGCCGAGAUCCAGGAGCUCAAGGAGAGGGUGUCAUACUUGGAGGCUGAGAACCUGGAGAUGCACGAUCGCAUAGAGCAC